UGGUUGGGAAUCUUAUAAAAAUAAAGUAGUUGUUAAAAACAGAAAAUUUUUAGUUAAUGUUGUAGUUUUAAAAAAAAUUUAACUAUGUGGGUAGUUUUUUUUUUUUAAGAGAUAAAUAGCACGCUAUCCGCUUCGUUUAUUUCAUUUAGAAAUAAACUUAGCUGAAAAUGUAAAUCAAUUAGGAUUCGAACUUCGGUUUAGCUGAAAAUGUGAAUUAACUAGGAUUCGAUUUUGUGUCUCUGCCCUUUGCCACUUGUUUUAGGGACAGUCGGUAACUAUGCGGAUAGUUUGUUUGGCUUUUGUAGAAAUACAAAAUAAUAUAAAACGGCCUUAAUAUUGCUGUAUUAUUUUGGGAAAAAAAAUAAAAGAGGAUAAAUUUGAAUUUACCCUUUGAAUUUAGUUAAUUUUUUACUUUAUCAUCUUGUGAUUCAAAAUACACUUUUGCCAUUAUGUGAUUCAAAAAAUUAUAUUGAGUCAUUAUGUGGUUAUUAAAAAAUUUUAUUUUACUAGCCUAUUUGAUGGUCUAUUUUUUAGAUACAAAUAAAAAUAAAAUCACAUAAUAGUUAAGUAUAAUUUUUAAAUUAUAA
This 587-nucleotide long non-coding RNA is filed under the name Ananas comosus (pineapple). RNAcentral's name for it is "long non-coding RNA (ACOM_LNC014518)". Lineage: Eukaryota; Viridiplantae; Streptophyta; Magnoliopsida; Poales; Bromeliaceae. The record is from RNAcentral.